AUUGAACGCUGGCGGCAUGCCUAACACAUGCAAGUCGAACGAGUGGCGGACGUGUGAAUAAUGUCUGGGAAACUGCCUGAAGGAGGGGGAUAACUACUGGAAACGGUAGCUAAACCCGCAUACCAGUAGAUGUGCCCAGAUGUGAUUAGCUUGUUGGUGGGGUAACGGCUCACCAAGGAGACGAUCCCUAGCUGGUCUCAGAGGAUGACCAGCCAAACUGGAACUGAGACACGGUCCAGAAUCCUACGGGAGGCAGCAGUGGGGAAUAUUGCGCAAUGGGCGCAAGCCUGAUGGAGCCAUGCGGCGUGUAUGAAGAAGGCCUUCGGGUUGUAAAGCACUUGUAGCGGGGAAGCGUUACCCGCAGAGGAAGCACCGGCUAACUCCGUGCCAGCCGCCGCGGUAAUAC
RNAcentral lists this ribosomal RNA (406 nucleotides) under uncultured bacterium. RNAcentral's name for it is "partial 16S ribosomal RNA". It matches the Rfam family "Bacterial small subunit ribosomal RNA", at positions 30 to 526 of the family's 1533-position model. The record is from RNAcentral.